Harpia harpyja (harpy eagle) is the source of this 254-nucleotide long non-coding RNA. RefSeq lists it as uncharacterized. NCBI's taxonomy places the organism in Eukaryota, Metazoa, Chordata, Aves, Accipitriformes, Accipitridae. The transcript has 2 exons. The record is from RefSeq and is a predicted model, not a curated record.
GGAUGUUGUAAUUGUAUCGGAAGGUGAUGAACAUGGGAUCAUUCCUGAGAAUCACAGUCAUUGUCUAGAGGUGCAUACCAGCUCAGAAAGAGUGGUUUCCAAUGGGAGGUAACCUUUGCCCUUCAGUAGUCUAAGGUUUCCAUUGCUGACUUAUUUUCUUCACCAAUCACUACUUUUCCUUUCCAUGUCUUCCAUGAACUGUCUUGAUUGCUAUUUGAUAUAACAUGUUAGAAUAUGCUGAACCUCACAUUUGA